This is an RNA transcript of Malaya genurostris, 1261 nucleotides long. RefSeq lists it as uncharacterized. The transcript is spliced from 6 exons. NCBI's taxonomy places the organism in Eukaryota, Metazoa, Arthropoda, Insecta, Diptera, Culicidae. The record is from RefSeq and is a predicted model, not a curated record.
CUUCUGCAAAAACAAUCGAGAAAUCUGAGUGUGUAGAUUAAUUUGGAACUUUGGCUGCUAGCAACUCGGUGAAAGUGUGUAUUUCAGUUAUCAACGAAAACAAUAAUUCUCGAUGAACAUUAGUAAAGGUCCCAGGUGAUUACUGAUUGGACCGUAAUAAUCGAAAGCGAAUGUAAAUAAAGUAAACUGUCAUGUGCACUUGGGACCUUUUCUAAUAUUUGUCUUCAAUUGAAAAUAUUCUCGAAGAAUACAACAUCCUUGAAAAAAACAGCUAGGAUAGAAUCAGCUCCAGGGUUGCCAUUUCGACAGAUCACAGAUCGCAUAUUUUCAUCACAGGGUGUGUUAGUAAUCCAUUCUUCGAGCCUGCGCAGUAUGCAUUGUCGAAUGUGACAUUGGAAAAAAGCUAUUGAAGUGAUUUCUAAUCUACAUAGAAAUAGCUAAUUGUGGAAAUUGUAGAAAUCCGUCGGUAUGAUACUGACUACGAAUAAAUUAAUUUUUUUGAGAGAGGUAACAGUACAUUGAAGCCGAAAUAAGUUCAGUACAGUUCUCUUAUGUUGAAGGGUAAGCAUAAGCCAUUCAGCAAUCAGUGUACGUAGGAUGGCAUACAUUUCGAAAAAAAUUGGAUCUAACGAAACCAAACUUCAUCGCGUGGGAAAAACUAGUUGCUAUCACACGUCGAGUAGUGAAAUAUUGAAUGAACUUCAAGAAGCAGUUCUUAAACAGAAUGAUAAAAAAAGUGCGAUGGAUUUCUGGAAAGCUUUUUACGCAUCCGUUGCUUCGUUGAACAACAUUUCAGAUCAUCAACAUCAUUUACAAUAUCUUUAUCCCUUGAGUGCAGACUACAAUUGCGUUAAAGAUGAUAACUGCAACAACUUGGAGUUACCUUCGAUUACUGGAAUAAUCCGUACAGCUGUUAAAAAAACUGGAGCUCUAAUGCAACAAGAUAAAAAAAGAGUUUCUCGUCAGUUUUUAAUGAACUUGAAAAACGUUCAACUACAAGUAAUUGUUGACGAUUUACAAAGGUACAUCGGAAGGCUAAACGACGAAUUGGUUCAGUUACUGAUGCAACGAGACGAACUUCAAAUGAGCCAGGAUGCAACUUUAAUUGACAUAGAUGAUUUAUCAUUAUACUUUUGAAGACACAGGAAAAGGAAUCAGUAGUGCGAGAAACGAGGAAGCACUCGAUCACGAACCAUAAUAUUAUAAAACUGAAGUGAACCUAAGUAAUUUAUUCACCAAUAUAUAUUGGAUGACAUUCGUA